CGUUGAAAGCACGACAUCUCGUCUAGAGC
This 29-nucleotide ribosomal RNA is filed under the name Dirofilaria repens. Lineage: Eukaryota; Metazoa; Nematoda; Chromadorea; Rhabditida; Onchocercidae. The record is from RNAcentral.